Molecule: non-coding RNA, 235 nt
Organism: Pelobates cultripes (western spadefoot toad)
Lineage: Eukaryota; Metazoa; Chordata; Amphibia; Anura; Pelobatidae
Source: the annotation of a GenBank genome assembly
CUGUAUGUGUGUUGGUGCUGUGUAUGUCUGUGGGUGCUGUGUAUGCGUGUGGGUGCUGUAUGUGUAUAGGUGCUGUGUAUGUCUGUGGGUGCUGUAUGUGUAUAGGUGCUGUGUAUGUCUGUGGGUGCUGUAUGUGUGUAGGUGCUGUGUAUGUCUGUGGGUGCUGUAUGUGUGUUGGUGCUGUGUAUGUGUGUGGGUGCUGUGUAUGUCUGUGGGUGCUGUAUGUGUGUGGGUG